UGGGGAAUAUUGGACAAUGGGCGCAAGCCUGAUCCAGCAAUGCCGCGUGUGUGAAGAAGGCCUUCGGGUUGUAAAGCAUUUUUAUCAGGAGCGAAACGCUGUCGGCUAAUACCCGGCGGAACUGACGGUACCUGAGGAAUAAGCACCGGCUAACUUCGUGCCAGCAGCCGCGGUAAUACGAAGGGUGCAAGCGUUAAUCGGAAUUACUGGGCGUAAAGCGUGCGUAGGCGGUUUCUUAAGUCUGCUGUGAAAUCCCCGGGCUCAACCUGGGAAUGGCAGUGGAUACUGGGAGGCUAGAGUGUGUCAGAGGGUGGUGGAAUUCCCGGUGUAGCGGUGAAAUGCGUAGAGAUCGGGAGGAACAUCAGUGGCGAAGGCGGCCACCUGGGACAACACUGACGCUGAGGCACGAAAGCGUGGGGAGCAAACAGGAUUAGAUACCCUGGUAGUCCACGCCCUAAAGCGAUGCGAACUGGAUGUUGGUCUCAACUCGGAGAUCAGUGUCGAAGCUAACGCGUUAAGUUCGCCGCCUGGGGAGUACGGUCGCAAGACUGAAACUCAAAGGAAUUGAC
This 569-nucleotide ribosomal RNA is filed under the name uncultured bacterium. RNAcentral describes it as "partial 16S ribosomal RNA". It matches the Rfam family "Bacterial small subunit ribosomal RNA", at positions 355 to 914 of the family's 1533-position model. The record is from RNAcentral.